Molecule: transfer RNA, 98 nt
Filed under: Panus rudis PR-1116 ss-1
Lineage: Eukaryota; Fungi; Basidiomycota; Agaricomycetes; Polyporales; Panaceae
Description: tRNA-Lys
Rfam family: tRNA
About the family: Transfer RNA (tRNA) molecules are approximately 80 nucleotides in length.
Source: RNAcentral
GCCCGCCUAGCUCAAUCGGAUAGAGCGUCAGACUCUUAGGAGUGCGGGUUGCAGAUCCCGCGAUCUGAAGGCUGCGAGUUCGACCCUCGCGGUGGGCU